This 706-nucleotide ribosomal RNA is filed under the name uncultured low G+C Gram-positive bacterium. RNAcentral describes it as "bacterial SSU rRNA". It matches the Rfam family "Bacterial small subunit ribosomal RNA", at positions 36 to 737 of the family's 1533-position model. Lineage: Bacteria; Bacillati; Bacillota. The record is from RNAcentral.
CUGGCGGCAUGCUAAUACAUGCAAGUCGAACGCCUCAUCUUCGGAUCAUGAGAGAGUGGCGAACGGGUGAGUACACGUAAGAAACCUGCCCUUAAGACGAGGAUAACUAUUGGAAGCGAUAGCUAAUACUGGAUAGGACAUAAAAUCGCAUGAUUUAAUGUUUAAAGGCGCGAAUGCGUCGCUUGAGGAUGGUCUUGCGCUGUAUUAGUUAGUUGGUGAGGUAACGGCUCACCAAGACAAUGAUACAUAGCUGGUCUGAGAGGAUGAACAGCCACACUGGGACUGAGACACGGCCCAGACUCCUACGGGAGGCAGCAGUAGGGAAUUUUCGGCAAUGGGCGAAAGCCUGACCGAGCAAUGCCGCGUGAACGAUGAAGGUCUUCGGAUCGUAAAGUUCUGUUGUUAAGGAAGAACAGGUAUAAUAGGAAAUGAUUAUGCCCUGACGGUACUUAACCAGAAAGCUCCGGCUAACUACGUGCCAGCAGCCGCGGUAAUACGUAGGGAGCGAGCGUUAUCCGGAAUUAUUGGGCGUACCGCGUGCGUAGGCGGUUUACUAAGUCACAUCUGAAAGCCCACAGCUUACCUGUGGAGGGUGAUUUGAAACUGGUAGACUUGAGUACGGCAGAGGUUAGUGGACUUCACUGUGUAGCGGUGGACUGCGUCGAUUUAUUGAGGCACCCCAGUGGCAAGGCGGAUAAUGGACCGU